GUGGGGAAUCUUCCGCAAUGGACGAAAGUCUGACGGAGCGACGCCGCGUGAGUGAAGAAGGCCUUCGGGUCGUAAAGCUCUGUCAUCAGGGACGAACGGCCGGUGGAGUGGAAAGCCACCGGAUUGACGGUACCUGAGAAGGAAGCCACGGCUAACUACGUGCCAGCAGCCGCGGUAAUACGUAGGUGGCAAGCGUUGUCCGGAAUUAUUGGGCGUAAAGCGCGCGCAGGUGGGAUCUUAAGUCCAUUUUGAAAGUUCGGAGCUCAACUCCGAGAUGGGAUGGAAACUGGGAUUCUUGAGUACCGGAGAGGAAAGCGGAAUUCCCCGUGUAGCGGUGAAAUGCGUAGAUAUGGGGAGGAACACCAGUGGCGAAGGCGGCUUUCUGGACGGUGUCUGACACUGAGGCGCGAAAGCCAGGGGAGCGAACGGGAUUAGAUACCCGGGUAGUCC
RNAcentral lists this ribosomal RNA (450 nucleotides) under uncultured bacterium. RNAcentral describes it as "partial 16S ribosomal RNA". It matches the Rfam family "Bacterial small subunit ribosomal RNA", at positions 354 to 796 of the family's 1533-position model. The record is from RNAcentral.